GAAUGUGAGGACAAUCUGGCUGUGACAUCUGUCACCCCACUGAUUGCCAAGGUUGAUUCAGCUGACCUGGCUAGCUAGGUAAGUGUCCCCUUCCUCCUUCACCACUCCUUGUGUGUCCCUCCUGAAGCUGCUAAGCUGAGCACUUGGUCAAAGAAUACAACCUUCCCUGAAUAGAGACAGACUAGUCAACCUCCAG
Molecule: small nuclear RNA, 196 nt
Filed under: Erinaceus europaeus (western European hedgehog)
Lineage: Eukaryota; Metazoa; Chordata; Mammalia; Eulipotyphla; Erinaceidae
Description: 7SK RNA
Rfam family: 7SK RNA
About the family: 7SK was discovered as an abundant small nuclear RNA in the mid-70s but a possible function has only recently been suggested. Two independent studies have found that 7SK RNA binds the CDK9/cyclin T complex (known as elongation factor P-TEFb). P-TEFb activates transcription by phosphorylating the C-terminal domain of RNA polymerase II.
Source: Rfam by way of RNAcentral